RNAcentral lists this ribosomal RNA (301 nucleotides) under uncultured bacterium. RNAcentral describes it as "partial 16S ribosomal RNA". It matches the Rfam family "Bacterial small subunit ribosomal RNA", at positions 509 to 807 of the family's 1533-position model. The record is from RNAcentral.
CAGCCGCCGCGGUAAUACAGAGGGUGCAAGCGUUAAUCGGAUUUACUGGGCGUAAAGCGUGCGUAGGCGGCUUCUUAAGUCGGAUGUGAAAUCCCUGAGCUUAACUUAGGAAUUGCAUUCGAUACUGGGAAGCUAGAGUAUGGGAGAGGAUGGUAGAAUUCCAGGUGUAGCGGUGAAAUGCGUAGAGAUCUGGAGGAAUACCGAUGGCGAAGGCAGCCAUCUGGCCUAAUACUGACGCUGAGGUACGAAAGCAUGGGGAGCAAACAGGAUUAGAUACCCGCGUAGUCCCUGUCUCUUAUAC